GUAGGUGGCAAGCGUUGUCCGGAAUUAUUGGGCGUAAAGCGCGCGCAGGCGGUCCUUUAAGUCUGAUGUGAAAGCCCACGGCUCAACCGUGGAGGGUCAUUGGAAACUGGAGGACUUGAGUACAGAAGAGGAAAGCGGAAUUCCAAGUGUAGCGGUGAAAUGCGUAGAGAUUUGGAGGAACACCAGUGGCGAAGGCGGCUUCCUGGUCUGUAACUGACGCUGAGGCGCGAAAGCGUGGGGAGCAAACAGGGAUUAGAUACCCUGGUAGUCCACGCCGUAAACGAUGAGUGCUAAGUGUUAGGGGGGUUUCCGCCCCCUUAGUGCUGCAGCUAACGCAUUAAGCACUCCGCCUGGGGAUACGGCCGCAAGGCUG
RNAcentral lists this ribosomal RNA (373 nucleotides) under uncultured organism. RNAcentral's name for it is "partial 16S ribosomal RNA". It matches the Rfam family "Bacterial small subunit ribosomal RNA", at positions 527 to 896 of the family's 1533-position model. The record is from RNAcentral.